Molecule: non-coding RNA, 26 nt
Filed under: Rattus norvegicus (Norway rat)
Lineage: Eukaryota; Metazoa; Chordata; Mammalia; Rodentia; Muridae
Source: RNAcentral
UAGAAGCAGCUGCGCUGACUCUUGAC